CUUAAAUAAACUCAGGUACGCAGAGGUCUGUUGCCUCCCGUAACUGUUCCUAGGUCGACUGUGGUAGGGAUGUGCGGAAGUACGGACGCUAAGAACAGCUGAAUGCAGCGCCGUUCUCAGUGGAGAGAACAAGUGGAAUCAGUUCAGCAAGCCACGUUAGACCCACUGCAGGCUGACUGCUUUCUGCAUUGCACAGAGAAGCGUUGUCAUGGAGACCGGUGAGGUUCCAUGCUUGGACUUGACACAGCUAGCCCAACUGCUCGUGUGUCCAGAAUGCCUGAACCUGCUGUUGCCACCGACUUCGAUCUGCGAGCGGGGACACACUUUCUGCGGAUUUUGCAGGGUGAUACUUGAGAAGUGUCCCGCCUGUGAGGGGCAGUUUCUGGAACACGCCCGUAACAUUCCUGUCGAAGAGAUUUGCACGAUUGUGGGCAACAAAUGCCCAUAUUCUGAGAGCGGUUGCACCUGCACACUGACACAAGCAUUACUGCCCCUCCACGUGUCAAAAUGUUUGCACAGAGGAGUAGUCUGUCCUCUCAACAAAAUCCCUGAUCACAGUUGUUCAUGGUUGGGUGUCCUCAAGGAUCUUGAAUCCCAUUUGAAGAACGUGCAUGGAAACAUGAUAUCUGACAGGAAUUACAUUACGAGCAAUGUUUUUCAAAGCGACGCUAAAAUUAUACUCCAUAAAAAUGAGAUAUUUAUAUUUUGCAGGUACCUCAAAGGCAGUGAAUGGUUUGCAAUUAUACAAAGAGCAGGGUGCACUGAACAUAAAUUCAAAAGCGUUUUUAGAAUCUGGACGUCACAAAACAAGCUUGAAUUUAUCAGCAUGACCUUCACUGUUACCAAUAUCAACGAAAACAUAGAUGAUGUGUUUGAAGAAGGGCGCAGUAUGAUUUUAGAUGAUAUCGUUGUCAAGAACUUCGUAACGGGCGGUGAUCUUAGCAUGAUGACUGUUGUUGAAGAGGCUAAAUAGUUUGCAGUGUUGCUGGAAACCGCAAUUACUGCAUUAAAAUUUGAUUGAGCGGUAUGGAAACUUCUUGGAUUCCCGAAGGAAGACGCUUCUGACUUUGAAAGAGCCUGUUAUGUAACUUCUCAGGCAGAUGUACUUUUGUCGUGUAAAUGGAGACGUUUAAGGCUCUUCAAAUCUCCAAAAGUUUCUUCCAAAUCAAAACUGUUACAGCCAAGCAUAAUAAAUAAAUGCACAAACAGCCAUUUAAUUCUGCAGGUGUUGUGUUGUAGUACAGCGGAUAUUAAUGUUGUUUGUACAACAGUAAUUAAAUACUAAGUUCCUUGCUCUGUGAAAAUGUAGAUCGUUCAGAUAUGUGAAAAUGAUACCCGUUUGGUGGAAAACAUAUACGUUUAAUAUUUGGUUAUUGACUGUUAAAAGGCAGGUGGUACACAUCAACUGCCAUUUAUCUAUGACGAGUUUCUGUAGCAAUUUUAUUUUAUAGCUGACGACUUAAGGGGGAAUUUUAUUACAAAAGUACUUAAUAAUAUAUGUGAAAUUACUUUCAACAUGAAUUUGAUUCAAUGUAUUUUUUUUCAUAUACGAUUGUAGAAACAUGGUUGCAUCUCUCGUAAAUCAAAUU
This is a long non-coding RNA of Cryptotermes secundus, 1589 nucleotides long. RefSeq lists it as uncharacterized. The transcript has 2 exons. NCBI's taxonomy places the organism in Eukaryota, Metazoa, Arthropoda, Insecta, Blattodea, Kalotermitidae. The record is from RefSeq and is a predicted model, not a curated record.